CCUACGGGUGGCAGCAGUGGGGAAUAUUGCACAAUGGGGGAAACCCUGAUGCAGCGACGCCGCGUGAGCGAUGACGGAUCUCGGUAUGUAAAGCUCUAUCAGCAGGGAAGAAAAUGACGGUACGUGACUCAGAAGCCCCGGCUAACUACGUGCCAGCAGCCGCGGUAAUGCGGAGGGGGCCAGCGUUAUCCGGAUUUACUGGGUGUAAAGGGAGCGUAGACGGCUUGGCAAGCCAGAUGGUAAAGGCUGGGGCUCAACCCCCGGAGUGCAUUUGGAACUGGCAUGCUAGAGUGUCGGAGAGGCAGGCGGAAUUCCUAGUGUAGCGGUGAAAUGCGUAGAUAUUAGGAGGAACACCAGUGGCGAAGGCGGCCUGCUGGACGAUGACUGACGUUGAGGCUCGAAAGCGUGGGGAGCAAACAGGAUUAGAUACCCCAGUAGUC
This 440-nucleotide ribosomal RNA is filed under the name uncultured bacterium. RNAcentral describes it as "partial 16S ribosomal RNA". It matches the Rfam family "Bacterial small subunit ribosomal RNA", at positions 338 to 795 of the family's 1533-position model. The record is from RNAcentral.